UCCAAGGGGUCUGCGAACGCCCCGUGAGGCUUCGGCCCAAGUUUCGCGUCCUAGUUAACCCCCAACAUGGGAGGACGCGACAUG
Molecule: regulatory RNA element, 84 nt
Organism: Planktotalea frisia
Lineage: Bacteria; Pseudomonadati; Pseudomonadota; Alphaproteobacteria; Rhodobacterales; Paracoccaceae
Rfam family: chrB-a RNA
Source: Rfam